Molecule: ribosomal RNA, 253 nt
Filed under: uncultured bacterium
Lineage: Bacteria
Description: partial 16S ribosomal RNA
Rfam family: Bacterial small subunit ribosomal RNA
Source: RNAcentral
UACGAAGGAUUCGAGCGUUAUCCGGAUUUAUUGGGUUUAAAGGGUGCGUAGGUGGAUUAAUAAGUCAGUGGUGAAAGCCCGCAGCUUAACUGCGGAACUGCCAUUGAUACUGUUAGUCUUGAGUACAGUUGAGGUGGGCGGAAUGUGUCAUGUAGCGGUGAAAUGCUUAGAUAUGACACAGAACACCGAUUGCGAAGGCAGCUCACUAAGCUGUAACUGACACUGAGGCACGAAAGCGUGGGGAUCAAACAGG